RNAcentral lists this ribosomal RNA (253 nucleotides) under uncultured bacterium. Its description in RNAcentral is "partial 16S ribosomal RNA". It matches the Rfam family "Bacterial small subunit ribosomal RNA", at positions 524 to 776 of the family's 1533-position model. The record is from RNAcentral.
UACGUAGGGCGCAAGCGUUAUCCGGAAUUAUUGGGCGUAAAGAGCUCGUAGGCGGUUUGUCGCGUCUGCCGUGAAAGUCCGGGGCUCAACUCCGGAUCUGCGGUGGGUACGGGCAGACUAGAGUGAUGUAGGGGAGACUGGAAUUCCUGGUGUAGCGGUGGAAUGCGUAGAGAUCCGGAAGAACACCGGUGGCGAAGGCGGUUAGCUGGGCAGUUGCUGACACUGAGGCGCGACAGCGUGGGGAGCAAACAGG